RNAcentral lists this ribosomal RNA (482 nucleotides) under uncultured bacterium. RNAcentral describes it as "bacterial SSU rRNA". It matches the Rfam family "Bacterial small subunit ribosomal RNA", at positions 32 to 524 of the family's 1533-position model. The record is from RNAcentral.
AAUCAACGCUGGCGGCGUGCCUAACACAUGCAAGUCGAACGCGAAAGCCCGCAAGGGUAAGUAGAGUGGCGCACGGGUGAGUAACACGUGGACAACCUGCCUUCGAGUGGGGAAUAACCUUCCGAAAGGAGGGCUAAUACCGCAUAACACCUCGGGACAUAAGUUUUGGGGUUGAAAAGAGCAAUUUGCUCGAAGAGGGGUCCGCGCCUGAUUAGCUAGUUGGUGAGGUAACGGCUCACCAAGGCUCGAUCAGUAGCCGUCCUGAGAGGGAGCACGGCCACACUGGAACUGAGACACGGUCCAGACUCCUACGGGAGGCAGCAGUGGGGAAUUUUUGGCAAUGGGCGAAAGCCUGACCAAGCAACGCCGCGUGGGUGAUGAAGUAUCUUGGUACGUAAAACCCUUUCGGCAGGGACGAACCUAAUGACGGUACCUGCGGAAGAAGCCCCGGCUAACUCCGUGCCAGCAGCCGCCGCUGUAAG